This is a long non-coding RNA of Oncorhynchus tshawytscha (Chinook salmon), 309 nucleotides long. NCBI's taxonomy places the organism in Eukaryota, Metazoa, Chordata, Actinopteri, Salmoniformes, Salmonidae. The record is from Ensembl.
GAGUACAGGCCUCAUUCCUUCGACGAUAAACGCGAAUCCAAACAUCACACCUGCUGAGACAAAACCGUUACAGUGAAGACAACUUUUUGCCAGUCCUGUCUGGUCCAGCAACGUGCAAAAGCAAGCAUCAUCCUCCACCAGGAGACAAGCGUCCGGCAUCCCUGAUGUGCCAGAGAAAGCAGAGGCCUCAGUGACGAGGUUUGGAUCCAGAGUUGUGUUACUCAAAGUAAACCCCAGGGACAAGCUGAACGUACUGACUGACCUGGAUGAGCAGAACCUGUCCUACAUCCCGAACUUCCAGGAGGCGGC